CCCCCAAAGCAGCCGGGCAGCGAGGCUGCUCCGCGCCGGCUCCGGCGGGCCCAGGGACGGCUCGGCCCGCGGGCAGCUCCCACUGCAGGGCAGCUCCCACAGCAGGGCAGCCGGGUGCUUUUAGGGAUGGGUGCGGCAGAACCAGCCGGGCCAAAGGCAUCCAGCCCGGCCAGAAGGCAUCCAGCCCCGCGGGUGCCCGAGAGCAGCAAACGGGACAGCGCACAGGCCGGGCGCGGAUGGUGCCACCGCCACAGCCCACACGGGGCUGCGGAGCCCUGCUCGUGUGGGCAAAGGGAGGCCUUUGCAUUUGGAUUCAUGCCGAGGGAUCCGGGACAGCUCUGCCUGACAUUAAUAUGUUUGGCACAGCAUUAAAAAAGAGGAGCAAAUGGUGUAGGAGGCCAAAGUAGCAGCCUUGAUGUAGGACAUGAAAGGAGGAAUUUGCUAUCAGAUCAGAGAUAAGGAGGCGCCUCUGGGAAAAAAAAAAAAAACACAACAAAAAAAAAACCAAAAGAACGCCACCAAAAAACACUUGAAUGGCUGCUGAACACCUGUGUGAUGGACAGGAAUUUGGAAAGAGCUGUUUCUCAUUCAAAGACACACACAAACCUGCCUUUCCCUGGCUUAUUUCACAGGGGAGUUAUGCAGGAAAGAUGUGGGAUGAAGCAGUGUUCAAACAGUGCUGCUAAACGCUGUGGAAGACUGAAUUGAGUGUAUAGAAUGGACAGUAACAAUGAAGCAACAAGGUUUGUCACUAGGAUAUCUGUACUAAAAAAAAGGGAAGUGAAAAUUACUCAGUGUGGGCAGGUAACCCUCUAUUUGAAUAGUGGAACUGCAUUUUUAGGUUUACUGUGAGAACCAGAUUAGUCCAAUGGCACUGAACAUAGCACUCAUUUUGUGGGACAGGAUCUUUCCUUCCCAUUUAGGCUGUAGUGAGUGCCUGCUCCUAAGACAUUUUUACAUAUAUGGUUUGAUUCUCCAUAGAUACUAGACAUACUGUAAAUGACAUGAUUUAUUUAUUUAUUGAUUAUUUAUUUAAUUGUUCAAGCUGGUUAGCACUUUAAUACAGAGAAAACAAACUGUAAGCAGCUUGUUGCUGCAGAAACAAGGGUAUGUACAGCCAUGAUUCAGUCCAAGAAUCUUCAUAAAACUAGAUAAACCACCCAGAAUCAGUCCUUUCACCACAGAAAUGAAAAGGUCUGAAAGAGCACCGCAAAGAUUUCAUUAGCCAUAGCCAUGCCACCACGGAGAAGGCAGCAUCCAAACACCACUGGGAAAUACAUUUCUGCAGAUAAAGGGAAGACACCAUCAUUGAAGUUGCCUAGGGGAAAGCUCCUAAGGGACAUGGGAUUUUAAGCCUGGAAGUAUCUGCAUACACAAGUGACAUUUGACAGCAAGAUCUGAAUAGAGUAAGGUCCCAAAUGUUGAGUUAUGGGAGCAACCAGCCUGUGGUACAAUGCAUUCUGGAACAUGACUAUCUUUCAGUAACUUAGGAUGUUAAAAUUAAUGUCUUAUAUUUUUAACUGAUCUACACUAUUUCAGGCAGAAUUUUUUGAGCUUGAGGCAGGGAUUACUCAAUGUGUUUAGACAGUGUGGCUUGUGUAAGCAGGCAGCCUGGAAGAGGUACAACACUUUUCCAAGAUUUUGAGACAAUGCCAAUACCAGAAGAGAGGACUUCUGACAACCCCUGCUAUUUGUUUGCACAGCACAUACACAGAAAGAUAUCUCUCUCAGCUCUGCUCAGGUGGUUGCACGUCUUUCUGCCCCUGCAAUGUGAGCAGAGAAGAGCUGCCCACAGGAACCAUGCAAUAGUCCUUGCCUACCAUCACAUCCCACCUGCAGUAACACCUUGAGGAGCCCAAAGGGGAAGUUGAUGGUGCAAAAGGCACCACGAAGUGUCAGAUCCAGUCUGGGCAAGAGAGAAAAAAGCAGAGAACAAGAAAAUACAAGUAAAAGUGUUUUAAAACCCAAACCAACAAACAUACAAAAACAACAACAAAAGCAAAGCAGACCUUUUCUGAGCUGUGGCAAAUUGGUCCUGGAAAAGCAGUGCAAAUGAUUAGAAGAUAAGGAAAACCUACCCCCAAAACUGCCUCUUGUAUUUAAAAAUCACAUAAACACUAGAUGGAUUUGAGUUCCUUAAUCUGCAUUCUGCAUCUUUACAAAUACAGGUCAUGCAGAUAAAACGAGAGGCAAGAGGGGUAAUGAUGAAGAACAGCGGUGGGCAUCACCAAAGUACACUCCUUUCCUUAGGAGGCAAUACAGCUUUCCUCUGACUGCUCUCAUACUAUACCCAAAGCUUUCCAAAAUCACAGAGGGACUAGGGAACCUCUCCCUGUCAAAAGUACUAUUGGCAGACACAAGUAUGUAGGAGCUGAUGGAUGCAGGGCACUGCCUGUGACUGUUACUGGUUCCUAUUCCUACAUGGGAGCUCCUUGCUUGCUGCUGUCUGGGUACUCAAGCCAAAUGGUCUUUGUGGGAUCAUUCUGCAAAUGGGUGUCUCCAGGAAGAGGCUGUGGUCACAGUGCCCAGUCAGCCCUCUUUGUUUUGAGCCUUCAAUGCUGGUUUAACCACAAGGGAGGUUCAGCUUGCCCUGCCCCAGUGCUGUCCCCUGGGAUGCUGACAGAACUGGAAGAAACCACUGGCAGGGGAGGUGCACAAGGGCUCUGGCCUGCAAAGCUGAGCUUGCUGGCCACAGAGUCCUUGGCCAGGUGGCAGUUCUGGGACACAACCCUGCCAGCAGCUUGGCUGAGGGCAACCACGGCCACCAGUCCCUUCCCAACCCACCCAUAGAGGGAAAGAUGCCUCAAAUAAAGACUUUGAGUUGGGGGACAGCCAGGAUUUGGCCCUGUGCAGCAUUUAAAUAAGCUUCUUCAGCUAUAUUUGGACCUCUGAAAUACUCCUAUGGUUUGAAGUGGUUUCCAAGAACAAUGAAGUAUUCCUAUCGGUCUGUAUGCUCUGUCCCUCCUCCUGUCUCCCUAACACUCUGAUCCCAGCUGGAAACAUUGCCCAGGCAGAAAAAGACAAGAACACAAGUAACUUGCCUGUGGUUUUAGGGAAGUGGAAGCAGGACAGCAAGCCCCAGCCCUACAAAUUGUUAUCUUUGAGUGCAUAAUUCUUAAUUAUAUACUUAAGCAAAGCCUAGAGUAAUAUAGUAAGUUAAGCAUGUAAUUCCACUUUAACUGAUGGGCGAAUCCCUAAAGCAAAUGCUUAUGUGUACACAGGGCUGCUCCCUAACUCAGCCAAGACUCACUGGGGAGCCAGAGAGGUCUUGUUCAGGUGGCACUGGGGAUGCUUUAGCAAGGCACCAUACUGAUGUGCACACAAGUGGAUGACAAAGCCAUGCCCCAUAUUUGUACCAUGAGCUCAAGUCACCAAGAGAGCAACUCUGGGUGAACCCACUUUUACUGGAAGAAGGGAGGUGGGGGGACUGAUGCAGGCUGAGGAAGGCUAUCCAAUCCCAUUCAUACACUGCAGUGGGCAGCUCUAAAGCCUCCCCACCAACUCUGCACCUCUCCACCUCCUAGCAUGGCUCCAGCAGCAGCUCCAGGGGCAGCACAGAGAUUGGGGACCAUGCUGCUGCCCAGCCCAGUUCCCUCCACUGGUGCCUGCUUGCUGGACUAGUGGCCUGGCUGCUCUCAGGGAGUCUCCAUACUCUCAGCAUGAAGUUUCCAUUUCUACCUUCAGUCAAGUCAUGAAGCAGCAUAUCAAGUGAAAAUAUACAAGAAAGAGGAGAAAGCCAGCACCGUGGCUUAAUUAAUCUUAUGGGUAGCUGCCAUGCAGCAGGAGGAAGGGUAAACAUGAGACCAAAAUCUUGGCACACUGCAGAAAUAACACACUUCUGCUGCCAGUACAGUGAAGAAAGGAUUUAAUACAAUACACAAGGGAAGAAGUGGAAUAAGGAAGGGGGAAGAGAUGAGGAUUGCCUGAAACUUUUGGGCACCUAAAGGAAGCUCUGUGACAACAGGGCCUGUUUAAAGGAUUAAGCACUAAUUGCACAUCCACAUUGUUCAGUAAGGAAGGUCACCUGAGCCACAGAUGACCCCUUCACCAAAGCACAGAGAAGUGCAGUAAAUGGAUACAUGCCUGGGCAUGUGGCAGCCAUGCUCCUCAAGCACUUGUAUCCCUCAUGCUUCUUUACCUUGCAGGGGCAAAUACCCAGCACUGAAUAAUGUGCUCAAAGCAAGUGCCAGCCACUCCUCUAAUUCUCACAGAUCAUGCCCUCAUUUCCUGCCAAAGCUGAGCCAGGGGGCAGAGAGUUAACAGCUACAAGAAACCUCUAAGCACUUGAGCUGCCUGCUAACAGCACCAAGGAAUUUAUCCACUGCAGAGGAUCGUUUCUCUGGAUAGUGUGAAUUAGGUUUUGUGUGUAUGAAGGCUAGAUAAAGGUUAGGAAUAAGAAGGAAUUACUCCCUUUCCUGGAUGUAGCAAAGACAUGUCUAAUUACAAAUGGAGAUGCUGACAGACUUUUUCUACCUCCUUUGAAAGUAAUGAACAAUUUCAUUCAAGAGCAACAUCAGUAAUUUCUCCAAGGCCAACAGUCAGUUCAAACUAGACAGCACAAAUGCUCAUUGACAUUUUAGAGGUGAACAGCAAAUAAACAUUCAUAGCUGAACAGAUACCCUGCUCUCUUCUUUGUGUUAGAUAUAUUUUUUCAUAGGCAAAAGAAAAUAUAAAAGAAAAAAUUGUUGCUAAGUAGCUUCCACCAAGGCAUGUAACAUCACCCUACCAGGGCUGCCAACCUUGUGGGUAGGAAACUGGGUGAACAUCCUAAAGUAUGUUUCAUGUGCUGGGUUUUAUUCCAGCUGGAUACAUUUUGGAGGGCAGAAUCACUUUGGAAGAGAUGGUGAGGAGACAACAAGCAGAGAUGAAUGAUGGAAGCACCCACAUAAAACUGAGGAGCUGGAAGAGGGAGGAAACAUGCAGCAGGGAGAUGGGUCUGUUCUGGCCAGCACAAAUAUCACUCAGUCAAUGUGUGACUCAGUCAAUCCCCCCUGAGCUUGACAUUUCUCUUGGUAGAAGAUGUCCUCUCCCCAUUUUCUCUGGUCUAAUGCACUGAUGCUUUCAUUUCAAAAGGUGACAUGAUUACAAGGAAUGCUAAAAAUACACAUGGGCUUUCAUUCUACUCCCCCAUCACUGGCGGAACAAAAUUUCCAGCUUUCCUGUUAGCCACAAACAGUGAUUUAAUCUGAUAGGCAUGUGGGGAACAAAACCUCUUCUUUGUUUUCAUUAUCUUCUCCUUUAUGCAACACCAUCAACCAAGGUUCAGACUUAGGAGUCCAGUCUAGUUGUUUGGAUGACCAUUAGUUAGGUUCUCUCCCCUUUGGCUGAACUAAGAGAGUGCUUUCUCCCGCCCAUCCUUCAAUCUUCCAGCCCUUCAGCAUGAUUAAAGGGUACUCUAGCCCAGCAGCAUCCAAACUGCCCUUGCUAUUGUCCGCUUCUGCUACUCUCCCAGGCCCUCACAGCCCUUCCUUGCCGUAAGGCUGAGGAUACAGCAGACACACAGAGCCCAGCUCCAUCGCACAUGCAGCAGCCAGACACUCCCCCAGAACACAAGUCUCCCAGUAGCUGGGCACCACAGAAGUCCUGCCAGCUGCCUGACGUUCCUAGGAAGCCCAGUCCACAGGCGGGGUAAGUAGUCCUUCCUGAGGGAAUAGGGCACAUGGAUGCACAGAUCAGGUGCUCCAAGAUCCAUUCCAGACCAGAGAUGAAUGCCCAGUCUCUCCUGCAGCUGAGCAUUUAAAACCAAGAGUGUUUGAAAAAACAAAGAGUUAACUACACAAACAUUAAACUUUCCAUGCUGCAAAUGCUCAGUGCACUUUCAGUUCUUUGGAGAAAAAAAAAAAUUAAAUCGUCCUAUGGAUGAUAUCAGGAAGACUUUUUGCAGGAGAAAUCUUCUAAAGGAUGGGAAAGAAUUUAAUAAAAUUUCAGUUUAUUCGUAUAACAUUAGGUCACUAUAAACUUUAUCUAUCUUUAAAUCCUUUUAUAUAACAUCAGAAACAUUAUUUUGUUGGUUUUUUUGCUGUGGUUUGAAAGACAUAUCAAAAUACUAUGGUAAUUCCUGCUUAUGAGUUAGGUAUUCAAAAGAGAAGUCUUAAUUGCAAGCUGCAAAUGCUAUAAAUGGCAGACAAUAAAUCUCAAUAACAGGGGAUCAAAAGGAAAGAAUACCCAGUAACACAGUUGUUUUUAUCUAAAACCAGAACACAUUACUCUGGUACAAGACCUCAGUUGUUAGAAGGAAAAUUUGCCCCUCAAGUGACAGAUUCUAUGAAAUACUUCUGAAUUAGGACAAUUAAGAAAAUACAAACAUUUCUACUCAGGAUCAUUGUCAGUAUGACACAACUUAGAGACUGACAUUGGCUUUUCUUUGUCUUUUCAAAAGAAAAUGUCUUUGUCUCUGAUUUGUACAGACAAAGCAUAGGAAUAUUGAAAGGUACUUCUUUAAAUACACUCCAAAAUUUUCAAAAUGUCAUAGAAGAAAAGGGCAACCGAAAGCAUUUUUUGUUGUCCCUAAAUUUUUGAUUCUCUUAAAAUCAGACAUUUACAAUGAGAAAAGCUUUUUGAGGUGGACAUUUUGUAGCAGCAUGUAAGCCUCGUAUAACAACUUCAUAGUGAAGAGAUCUUUAUGUACAAACCCAGCACGUUCCUUUAUGUUGCAGUUAUCGAUCAAGAGAUCAUUUAAGUAUA
This 6684-nucleotide long non-coding RNA is filed under the name Taeniopygia guttata (zebra finch). RNAcentral's name for it is "lncRNA (ENSTGUG00000029722.1)". The record is from RNAcentral. Lineage: Eukaryota; Metazoa; Chordata; Aves; Passeriformes; Estrildidae.